RNAcentral lists this small RNA (534 nucleotides) under Pongo abelii (Sumatran orangutan). Its description in RNAcentral is "processed transcript". The record is from RNAcentral. Lineage: Eukaryota; Metazoa; Chordata; Mammalia; Primates; Hominidae.
GCGUCUUCUACCCCGCCGGUCGCAUCUCCGAGAGGUAUGACAUCAAAGGCUGCGAGGGCCCCAGCGGAGCUGGUUCCUCCGCCAGAUGGAACUGGAUACCACCUUCCUCCGGGAGCUCAACGUGCUGGAUUACAGCCUCCUGAUGGCCUUCCAAUAUCUCCACGAGGAUGAGAGGGGCCCGGGCAGCAGCCUCAUCUUCCGCACGGCCAGGUCUGUGCAAGGGGCACAGAGCCCGGAAGAGUCGGCAGCCCAAAACCGCCGGCUGCUGCCCGACGCCCCCAACGCCCUACACAUCCUGGACGGGCCCGAGCAGCGCUAUUUCCUGGGCGUCGUGGAUCUCGCCACGGUCUACGGGCUCCGCAAGCGGCUGGAGCACCUGUGGAAGACACUGCGCUACCCGGGCCGGACCUUCUCCACUGUCAGCCCGGCUCGCUACGCCCGUCGCCUCUGCCAGUGGGUGGAGGCGCACACGGAGUGACGGGCGCCCGGCCCCACUCUCCGGUCUGGAUGAUGGGCUCACGCCAGGAACGCCGG